GCCCUUAGAGUUUGAUCAUGGCUCAGGACGAACGCUGGCGGCAGGCUUAACACAUGCAAGUCGCACGAGAACAGGCCUUCGGGCCUUAGUAAAGUGGCGGACGGGUGAGUAACACGUAGACAACCUGCCCCAAAGCGAGGGAUAACUAUCGGAAACGGUAGCUAAUACCGCAUGCAGUCUUUACCGGGCAUCCGGUUUAGAUGAAAGCCUUCGGGCGCUUUGGGAUGGGUCUGCGGAGGAUUAGUUUGUUGGUAGGGUAAAGGCCUACCAAGACUACGAUCCAUAGCUGGUCUGAGAGGACGAUCAGCCACACUGGGACUGAGACACGGCCCAGACUCCUACGGGAGGCAGCAGUGGGGAAUCUUGGGCAAUGGGCGAAAGCCUGACCCAGCCAUGCCGCGUGGAGGAAGACACCCCUAUGGGGCGUAAACUCCUUUUGUGCAGGAAGAAGGCCUCGAUCACCGAGGUUUGACGGUACUGCACGAAUAAGCACCGGCUAACUCCGUGCCAGCAGCCGCGGUAAUACGGAGGGUGCAAGCGUUGUCCGGAAUCACUGGGUGUAAAGGGUGUGUAGGCGGGAUUGUAAGUCAGAGGUGAAAUCUUGCGGCUCAACCGUAAAAUUGCCUUUGAUACUGCAGUUCUUGAGUCCCGGAGAGGUUGUUGGAAUUC
RNAcentral lists this ribosomal RNA (669 nucleotides) under uncultured Bacteroidota bacterium. Its description in RNAcentral is "bacterial SSU rRNA". It matches the Rfam family "Bacterial small subunit ribosomal RNA", at positions 1 to 669 of the family's 1533-position model. Lineage: Bacteria; Pseudomonadati; Bacteroidota. The record is from RNAcentral.